This 253-nucleotide ribosomal RNA is filed under the name uncultured bacterium. Its description in RNAcentral is "partial 16S ribosomal RNA". It matches the Rfam family "Bacterial small subunit ribosomal RNA", at positions 524 to 776 of the family's 1533-position model. The record is from RNAcentral.
GACAGGGGGUGCAAACGUUGUUCGGAAUUACUGGGCGUAAAGGGCGCGUAGGCGGCCUGUUAAGUCGAACGUGAAAUCCCUGGGCUCAACCCAGGAACUGCGUCCGAUACUGGCAGGCUUGAAUCCGGGAGAGGGAUGCGGAAUUCCAGGUGUAGCGGUGAAAUGCGUAGAUAUCUGGAGGAACACCGGUGGCGAAGGCGGCAUCCUGGACCGGCAUUGACGCUGAGGCGCGAAAGCCAGGGGAGCAAACGGG